Trifolium pratense (red clover) is the source of this 255-nucleotide long non-coding RNA. RefSeq lists it as uncharacterized. The record is from RefSeq and is a predicted model, not a curated record. Lineage: Eukaryota; Viridiplantae; Streptophyta; Magnoliopsida; Fabales; Fabaceae. The transcript has 2 exons.
AAGCAAAUGAGAAAAAAUAUGGCUCAAACUCUUCAGUUUGUUUAUGCUUUCAUAAUCUUUCUUUUUAUAUUUCUUCUUGCAGUCAAUGGGGCUAUACCUUGUGUUACUGACGAUGAUUGUCCAAAGGAGAUCCCCCCUGAAUAUUAUUAUAAGUGCAUGAAUAAGAUUUGUAUACUUAUUAAUUUAAUGUAAUAUUGAUCAAUUGAAAAAUAACCGAAAUUUAUAUGCCGAAAACCAUAGUUAUGUGUUCUUUCA